AGCGGCAGGCUUAACACAUGCAAGUCGAGGGGUAACAGAAUAGCUUGCUAUUGCUGGCGACCGGCGCACGGGUGCGUAACGCGUAUACAAUCUACCUUACACAGGAGAAUAGCCCUAAGAAAUUGGGAUUAAUGCUCCAUAGCAAUAUUAAAUCGCAUGAUUUAAUAUUUAAAGCUUCGGUGGUGUAAGAUGAGUAUGCGUCCUAUUAGUUAGUUGGUAAGGUAACGGCUUACCAAGACAGCGAUAGGUAGGGGGCCUGAGAGGGUUAUCCCCCACACUGGUACUGAGACACGGACCAGACUCCUACGGGAGGCAGCAGUGAGGAAUAUUGGUCAAUGGAGGCAACUCUGAACCAGCCAUGCCGCGUGAAGGAAGAAUGUCCUACGGAUUGUAAACUUCUUUUAUUUGGGAAGAAACCUCUGGUCGAGAACCAGGGCUGACGGUACCAAAAGAAUAAGGACCGGCUAACUCCGUGCCAGCAGCCGCGGUAAUACGGAGGGUCCAAGCGUUAUCCGGAAUCAUUGGGUUUAAAGGGUUCGCAGGCUGUUUAAUAAGUCAGUGGUGAAAUCUCGAGGCUCAACCUCGAAACUGCCAUUGAUACUGUUAGACUUGAAUACAGUUGGAGUAGGCGGAAUGUGUAGUGUAGCGGUGAAAUGCUUAGAUAUUACACAGAACACCGAUAGCGAAGGCAGCUUACUAAACUGUGAUUGACGCUCAUGAACGAAAGCGUGGGGAGCGAACAGGAUUAGAUACCCU
This 756-nucleotide ribosomal RNA is filed under the name uncultured Bacteroidota bacterium. Its description in RNAcentral is "bacterial SSU rRNA". It matches the Rfam family "Bacterial small subunit ribosomal RNA", at positions 38 to 788 of the family's 1533-position model. The record is from RNAcentral. Lineage: Bacteria; Pseudomonadati; Bacteroidota.